UGGCCCUGCGCAUGCCCACUCAGAACCCAGGACUUAGCCACGUCAGUUGGGUCUGGUCCGCAGUGCGGCGUUGGAGCUGGUCGGGGCUAGACGCUUGUAGCGGGUGCUCCGUGACUGGCGCCAUUCCUGGGCCUUCAGGCCUCAGACUUCCAAAUUAAAUCCACAGAAAAGAUGCCCUCAAGAUGCUACCUGCUGAUGCCCAUCGGGGGUGGAGAAGGGCCCUAGAUGAUCUGAAAGGCGAUUCUCUGUAGAUGGUGGGCGGAUGGCAGUGGAUGGCGCUCGGAUGGCCCUCCGGCCUUCCUCUGUGCCACAAGCCUGUGGAUGCUGCAGAAGCUCACGCGCCCGGGACAUAGAAGCGGCGAACCUUUGGGUGCUACGGCGGAGGCUUUGAGAUACCUCAGCGAGAACCAGCCAGUCGCAGCGGCGAACCGCAGUGGGAAGAACCUGUGGAUGCCCCGCGGAAGCAGUGGCUACCAGGCUCCACCACUCCCGCCACCUGUAGACGCACCUCUUUAAGAGGUGCCACAGGAACUGCUGUGGGUCAGAGAGGGACCUGGACCACCUUGGAGGCACCUGGAGACAGAGAGGUAUACCCUUAGCAUUCUGGGUGAAUCUCCAUUGGAAGCCUUUCAGGAGGACAUAAUGACUCACAAUAAGAUGAGAAGAGAAAAGUUCUCUUAGUGAGAAACAUGAAUGAGAUCCCAGAGGCUCGAGAAACUGAGGCCCUUGAAGGUCGAUACUGCACAUGACGUGUGGUGAGAAGAACCAUCCCGUGGCUGUCCAGAAGUUGGGAGCACUGUACCUGAAGACUUCAGUAAUGCCAUUGCCAAGAAACGCAAGUAGUCCUUUCUGUAUCUUGCCUUCUACUUGGGUUUCAGAAAACAAGUUUUCUAAAGGGAUCCAAGAAACCCUUAUCUCCCAUCAGGAGGCAGAACCUCAACCCCAAGCUUCCAACUGGGAGCUAAGGGACCCAAGUCUUCCAAAGGGAAUCGAGGGACCCAAGAUGAACCAAGCCUCCUACCAGGAGCCAGGAACCAAGCCUUGGUCCUUCUAACAGAACCCAGGCCUUCCAUCAGGUUCUAGCACCCAGCACCCAGGCCUUCUAACAGGAUCUAGUACCCAGGCCUUCCAUCAGGAUAUAGCACCCAGAAACCAGGCCUUCCUUCAGGAUCUAGGAUCUAAGACUUAGGACCUAGAAGCCAAGGCCUUUGACCAGGACCCAGAAGACAAGGCCUUUGACCAGGAUCUAGGACAAAGAAGCCAAGGCCUUUGACCAGGAUCUAGGACCCAGAAGCCAAGGCCUUUGAGGAGGAUCUAGGACCCAGAAGCCAAGGCCUUUGACCAGGACCCAGGACCCAGAAGACAAGGCCUUUGACCAGGACCCAGGACCCAGAACACAAGGCCUUUGACCAGGACCCAGGACCCAGAAGACAAGGCCUUUGACCAGGACCCAGAAGACAGGGCCUUUGACCAGGAUCUAGGACCCAGGACCCAAGGCCUUUGACCUGGACCUAGGACCCAGGACUCAGAAGACAAAGUCUUUGACCAGGAUCUAGGACCCAGGACCCAGAAGACAAGACCUUUGGCCAGGCCCCAGGCCCCAGGACCCAAAAGACAAGGCCUUUGACCAGGACCCAGAAGACAGGGCCUUUGACCAGGAUCUAGGACCCAGGACCCAGGACCCAGGACCCAAGGCCUUUGACCUGGACCUAGGACCCAGGACUCAGAAGACAAAGCCUUUGACCAGGAUCUAGGACCCAGUACCCAGAAGACAAGAUCUUUGGCCAGGCCCCAGGCCCCAGGCCCCAAAAGACAAGGCCUUUGACCAGGACCCAGAAGACAAGGCCUUUGACCAGGACCCAGAAGACAAGGCCUUUGACCAGGAGUCAGGACCCAGAAGACAAGGCCUUUGACCAGGACCCAGGACCCAGAAGACAAGGCCUUUGACCAGGACCCAGGACCCAGAAGACAAGGCCUUUGACCAGGACCCAGGACCCAGAAGACAAGGCCUUUGACCAGGACCCAGGACCCAGAAGACAAGGCCUUUGACCAGGACCCAGGACCAAGAAGACAAGGCCUUUGACCAGGACCCAGGAUCCAGAAACCAAGGUCUAUGACCAGGAUCUAGGACCCAGGACCCAGAAGACAAGGCCUUUGACCAGAACACAGGACCCAGGACCCAGAAGUUAAGGCCUGUGACCAGGAUCUAGGACCCAGGAACCAAAGCCUUUGACCAGGAUCCAAGACCCAGAAGACAAGGCCUUUGACCAGGACCCAGGACCUAGAAGACAAGGCCUUUGACCAGGACCCAGGACCCAGAAGACAAGGCCUUUGACCAGGACCCAGGACACAGAAGAUAAGGCCUUUGACCAGGACCCAGGACACAGAAGACAAGGCCUUUGACCAGGAUCUAAGACCCAGGACCAGAAGACAAGGCCUUUGACCAGGACCCAGGACCCAGAAGACAAGGCCUUUGACCAGGAUCUAGGACCCAGGACCCAGAAGACAAGGCCUUUGACCAGAACACAGGACCCAGGACCCAGAAGCUAAGGCCUGUGACCAGGCUCUAGGACCCAGGAACCAAAGCCUGUGACCAGGCUCUAGGACCCAGGAACCAAAGCCUUUGAUCAGGAUCUAGGACCCAGGACCCAAAAGACAAAGCCUUUGACCAGGAUCUAGGACUCAGGACCCAAAAGACAAAGCCUUUGACCAGGAUCUAGCACCCAGGACCCAGAAGACAAGGCCUUUGACCAGGAUCUAGGACCCAGGAACCAAGGCCUUUGACCAGGAUCUAAGACCCAGGACCCAGAAGACAAGGCCUUUGACCAGGACCCAGGACCCAGAAGACAAGGCCUUUGACCAGGAUCUAGGACCCAGGAACCAAGGCCUUUGACCAGGAUCUAGGACCCAGGACCCAGAAGACAAGGCCUUUGACCAGGACCCAGGACCCAGAAGACAAGGCCUUUGACCAGGACCCAGGACCCAGAAGACAAGGCCUUUGACCAAGAUCUAGGACCCAGGACCCAGAAGACAAGGCCUUUGACCAGAACACAGGACCUAGGACCCAGAAGCUAAGGCCUUUGACCAGGAUCUAGGACCCAGGACCCAGGCACCAAGGCCUUUGACCAGGACCCAGGACCUAGAAGCCCAGGCCUUUCACCAGGACCCAGGACCCAGAAGACAAAGGCCUUUGACCAGAAGCCCAGGCCUUUGACCAGGACCCAGAAGACAAGGCCUUUGACCAGGACCCAGAAGACAAGGCCUUUGACCAGGAUCUAGGACCCAGGACUCCGGAAUCAAGGCCUUUGACCAGGAUCUAGGACUCAGGACCCAGAAGACAAGACCUUUGACCAGGACCCAGGAACCAGAAGACAAGGCCUUUGACCAGGACCCAGGACCCAGAAGACAAGGCCUUUGACCAGGACCCAG
Long non-coding RNA from Sarcophilus harrisii (Tasmanian devil), 3429 nucleotides. RefSeq lists it as uncharacterized. The record is from RefSeq and is a predicted model, not a curated record. NCBI's taxonomy places the organism in Eukaryota, Metazoa, Chordata, Mammalia, Dasyuromorphia, Dasyuridae. The transcript is spliced from 3 exons.